Molecule: non-coding RNA, 402 nt
Organism: Pelobates cultripes (western spadefoot toad)
Lineage: Eukaryota; Metazoa; Chordata; Amphibia; Anura; Pelobatidae
Source: the annotation of a GenBank genome assembly
CACUUUGAAGGCGCGUGCGGCACUUGCCGCGCAUGCGCAUUCGGCUCCGCUGAUGUCAGUCGGGGGAGCUAAGGUCGGCAGGGGAGGAGAGGUCACAAGCGCCGAGGGAGCCCGGCGCUGGAAUAAGGUAAGCUGCUGAUGGGGUUUUACUGAGGUAGGGGGCACCCUCAGAGCACUAUAUAGUGUCAGGAAAACUGCUUUGUUUUCCUGACACUAUAGUGAUCCUUUAAUUAGUAGGGUUAAAUGACACAAGAGGUAGUUUUAACAUGUAUGGAAUGGAAGUAUAAGGUUGCUAGAAGAGUUUUUACAAAUUAGACACUGUUGCAGAAGAAAAAGUGGGUUAGUGAGCUGUGGGGACAGAGACUAAUAGUUCUCAGUGAUUUUUGAUCAUGGAACCUUAAG